This 745-nucleotide ribosomal RNA is filed under the name uncultured bacterium. Its description in RNAcentral is "bacterial SSU rRNA". It matches the Rfam family "Bacterial small subunit ribosomal RNA", at positions 33 to 773 of the family's 1533-position model. The record is from RNAcentral.
ACGCUGGCGGCAGGCCUAACACAUGCAAGUCGAGCGGUAGAGAGAAGCUUGCUUCUCUUGAGAGCGGCGGACGGGUGAGUAAUGCCUAGGAAUCUGCCUGGUAGUGGGGGAUAACGUUCGGAAACGGACGCUAAUACCGCAUACGUCCUACGGGAGAAAGCAGGGGACCUUCGGGCCUUGCGCUAUCAGAUGAGCCUAGGUCGGAUUAGCUAGUUGGUGGGGUAAUGGCUCACCAAGGCGACGAUCCGUAACUGGUCUGAGAGGAUGAUCAGUCACACUGGAACUGAGACACGGUCCAGACUCCUACGGGAGGCAGCAGUGGGGAAUAUUGGACAAUGGGCGAAAGCCUGAUCCAGCCAUGCCGCGUGUGUGAAGAAGGUCUUCGGAUUGUAAAGCACUUUAAGUUGGGAGGAAGGGUUGUAGAUUAAUACUCUGCAAUUUUGACGUUACCGACAGAAUAAGCACCGGCUAACUCUGUGCCAGCAGCCGCGGUAAUACAGAGGGUGCAAGCGUUAAUCGGAAUUACUGGGCGUAAAGCGCGCGUAGGUGGUUUGUUAAGUUGGAUGUGAAAUCCCCGGGCUCAACCUGGGAACUGCAUUCAAAACUGACUGACUAGAGUAUGGUAGAGGGUGGUGGAAUUUCCUGUGUAGCGGUGAAAUGCGUAGAUAUAGGAAGGAACACCAGUGGCGAAGGCGACCACCUGGACUAAUACUGACACUGAGGUGCGAAAGCGUGGGGAGCAAAC